Molecule: ribosomal RNA, 253 nt
Filed under: uncultured bacterium
Lineage: Bacteria
Description: partial 16S ribosomal RNA
Rfam family: Bacterial small subunit ribosomal RNA
Source: RNAcentral
UACGUAGGUGGCAAGCGUUGUCCGGAUUUAUUGGGUUUAAAGGGUGCGUAGGCGGCCUAUUAAGUCAGUGGUGAAAUAUCUCAGCUCAACUGAGAGUGUGCCAAUGAUACUGAUGGGCUUGAGUACAGAUGAGGUAGGCGGAAUUGACGGUGUAGCGGUGAAAUGCUUAGAUAUCGUCAAGAACACCUAUAGCGAAGGCAGCUUACUAGGCUGUAACUGACGUGAGGCACGAAAGUGUGGGGAUCAAACAGGA